Molecule: ribosomal RNA, 715 nt
Filed under: Paenibacillus sp. VG4-A3
Lineage: Bacteria; Bacillati; Bacillota; Bacilli; Caryophanales; Paenibacillaceae
Description: bacterial SSU rRNA
Rfam family: Bacterial small subunit ribosomal RNA
Source: RNAcentral
UGCAAGUCGAGCGGAGUCUUACACUUUCUUCGGAAAGUGUUUGGCUUAGCGGCGGACGGGUGAGUAACACGUAGGUAACCUGCCCAUAAGACUGGGAUAACCCACGGAAACGUGAGCUAAUACCAGAUAGGCAUCUUCUUCGCAUGAAGGAGAUGAGAAAGACGGUUUCGGCUGUCACUUAUGGAUGGACCUGCGGCGCAUUAGCUAGUUGGUGAGGUAACGGCUCACCAAGGCGACGAUGCGUAGCCGACCUGAGAGGGUGAUCGGCCACACUGGGACUGAGACACGGCCCAGACUCCUACGGGAGGCAGCAGUAGGGAAUCUUCCGCAAUGGGCGAAAGCCUGACGGAGCAACGCCGCGUGAGUGAUGAAGGUUUUCGGAUCGUAAAGCUCUGUUGCCAAGGAAGAACGCUCAGGAGAGUAACUGCUCUUGAGGUGACGGUACUUGAGAAGAAAGCCCCGGCUAACUACGUGCCAGCAGCCGCGGUAAUACGUAGGGGGCAAGCGUUGUCCGGAAUUAUUGGGCGUAAAGCGCGCGCAGGCGGCGAUGUAAGUUGGGUGUUUAAACCUAGGGCUCAACCUUGGGUCGCAUCCAAAACUGCAUGGCUUGAGUGCAGCAGAGGAAAGUGGAAUUCCACGUGUAGCGGUGAAAUGCGUAGAGAUGUGGAGGAACACCAGUGGCGAAGGCGACUUUCUGGGCUGUAACUGACGCUGA